Molecule: ribosomal RNA, 425 nt
Filed under: uncultured bacterium
Lineage: Bacteria
Description: partial 16S ribosomal RNA
Rfam family: Bacterial small subunit ribosomal RNA
Source: RNAcentral
GUGGGGGAUAUUGCGCAAUGGGGGAAACCCUGACGCAGCAACGCCGCGUGAAGGAUGAAGGUUUUCGGAUUGUAAACUUCUUUGACGAGGGACGAUAAUGACGGUACCUCGAAAACAAGCCACGGCUAACUACGUGCCAGCAGCCGCGGUAAUACGUAGGUGGCAAGCGUUGUCCGGAUUUACUGGGUGUAAAGGGCGAGUAGGCGGGGCUUCAAGUCUGAUGUGAAAACUAUCGGCUUAACUGAUAGACUGCAUUGGAAACUGAGGUUCUUGAGUGAUGGAGAGGCAGGCGGAAUUCCUAGUGUAGCGGUGAAAUGCGUAGAUAUUAGGAGGAACACCAGUGGCGAAGGCGGCCUGCUGGACAUUAACUGACGCUGAGGCGCGAAAGCGUGGGGAGCAAACAGGAUUAGAUACCCCAGUAGUCC